GGAUAAGAAACAGAGAAUAUGACCUUUUUUAACUUUAAGAAAUGCUGCUUAUAAAUAUCCCUAUGAUGGGCCAAGCAUGAUGGUGCACGCCUGUAAUCCGAGCACUUUGGGAGGCCAAGGUCAACUGAAGAAGAAGCUCAGCAGAAGGUGCAUGUGGAUCUUCAAAUGAAAGGUUUGCAAAUCCCAUCUCAUCCUCAUCAUAGCCAGCAUAUUAUUCUCGGUUCUGGGAGCCACCAUCAAAAAAAGAAAAAAAAAAAAAAAAACGUUGAAAAAUUUGACCUGUAUUCCAGGAAGGUGAAGCAACUGCCUGAAGGUUGGUUCUGAUGCUCAAAUCACUUAAAAGAUUGUCUUCAACCUAAGACUAGUGGUUACAUAAUGAAAAACAUGAAAGAAAAAUAGGAGAACAUAAAUAUCAACUAAAUAAUGAAUCAGCAAAAGAAACAUCCAUUGAGUGUCUUCUAGUGGAGACCAAUGACUGGACUCUGCUGGCUUGUAAACCAGAACCAAAUUCUAUUAAUGGGGCUCCUGUGACUUCUGAUGAUUCUCCCAUGGUGCAGGCAGGACAGUGCCACAGUGGAGGCACCAGGGACAUCGUGUCUCAGCCAUGAAAUGGACUGCUCCAAAUUGCCCUGCACACACCAGAGGCCAGAGACCAUGAUGUUAAUUACAGUGCAUGGUGACAAUCAAUUGCACUAGUCAAGAUGGAGCACCUGCCCAGCCCAGCUUGUGUCCAGUCCUGCUCAGUUCCAGGCUACCAGGAGGGGAUGGAACAGGACGGCUCACCUCCCUUCACAGACAGGGACCUGAGCAUGUCUACUAAGGAACGGAAAGACAUUUUUUCCUUCACUCCGGCCAAAUGCCUUUCCUCAUGGAGCUUAGGGUCACCUUCAGAAUUCUCACUGGUUCUUGUCAUACAUUCAGCCUCCUUUCAGGGAGAUAACAAUAGUAAUGUCCACGUCUUCCAGGGAAAGCCAAUUCUUCCCAGUGAUUAAAACAUUA
Molecule: long non-coding RNA, 999 nt
Organism: Symphalangus syndactylus (siamang)
Lineage: Eukaryota; Metazoa; Chordata; Mammalia; Primates; Hylobatidae
Source: RefSeq, a predicted model, not a curated record